UUAGUGUAAGUAAAAGUCGUAACAAGGUUUCCGUAGGUGAACCUGCGGAAGGAUCAUUAUUGAAAUAAACCUGAUGGGUUGUUGCUGGCUCUCUAGGGAGCAUGUGCACGCCUUGUCAUCUUUAUAUCUCCACCUGUGCACCUUUUGUAGACCUUUCGGGGUCUAUGUUGCUUCAUUUUUCCACAAUGUAUGUUAAUAGAAUGUUGUGCCCUGUAUAAUAUAUACAACUUUCAGCAACGGAUCUCUUGGCUCUCGCAUCGAUGAAGAACGCAGCGAAAUGCGAUAAGUAAUGUGAAUUGCAGAAUUCAGUGAAUCAUCGAAUCUUUGAACGCACCUUGCGCUCCUUGGUAUUCCGAGGAGCAUGCCUGUUUGAGUGUCAUUAAUAUACAUAUAUCAAGCCUUCUCUUGUAGAAGGGUUUGGAUGUGGGGGUUUGCUGGCCUCUUAAUCUUAAGAGUUCAGCUCUCCUGAAAUGCAUUAGCAGAACAACCUUAUGUUCAUUGGUGUGAUAACUAUCUACGCUAUUGAAUGUUGAGGGGGAAGUUCAGCUUUCUAACGGUCCUUGGACAACUCAUCAUUAAUGUGACCUCAAAUCAGGUAGGACUACCCGCUGAACUUAAGCAUAUCAAUAAGCGGAGGAAAAGAAACUAACAAGGAUUCCCCUAGUAACUGCGAGUGAAGCGGGAAAAGCUCAAAUUUAAAAUCUGGCGGUUUUUUUGGCCGUCCGAGUUGUAAUCUAGAGAAGUGUAAUCCGCGCUGGACCGUGUACAAGUCUCCUGGAAUGGAGCAUCAUAGAGGGUGAGAAUCCCGUCUUUGACAUGGACUGCCAGGGCUUUGUGAUGCGCUCUCAAAGAGUCGAGUUGUUUGGGAAUGCAGCUCAAAAUGGGUGGUAAAUCCCAUCUAAAGCUAAAUAUUGGCGAGAGACCGAUAGCGAACCAGUACCGUGAGGGAAAGAUGAAAGAACUU
Molecule: ribosomal RNA, 964 nt
Filed under: Cortinarius saniosus
Lineage: Eukaryota; Fungi; Basidiomycota; Agaricomycetes; Agaricales; Cortinariaceae
Description: eukaryotic LSU rRNA
Rfam family: Eukaryotic large subunit ribosomal RNA (bases 582-964)
Source: RNAcentral